UACGAAGGGGGCUAGCGUUAUCCGGAAUUACUGGGCGUAAAGCGCACGCAGGCGGUCUUGUAAGUUUGACGUGAAAGCUCCCGGCUUAACUGGGAGAGGUCGUUGAAGACUGCAAGACUUGAGGAAAUGAGAGGGGUGUAGAAUUCCCGGUGUAGUGGUGGAAUGCGUAGAUAUCGGGGGGAAUACCAGUGGCGAAAGCGGCACCCUAGCAUUUUUCUGACGCUCAUGUGCGAAAGCGUGGGGAGCGAACGGG
Molecule: ribosomal RNA, 253 nt
Filed under: uncultured bacterium
Lineage: Bacteria
Description: partial 16S ribosomal RNA
Rfam family: Bacterial small subunit ribosomal RNA
Source: RNAcentral